GACUACUAGCCGAGGAGUCGAGAAGACUGAAGAGAACUCAUUUCCCUUUUCUUCUCUUCUCAGUCUCGCUCCCCCCUUUAAUGAUUAAUCACUCAGUUCUCACUUCUCAAUAAUUAAUCACCCAAUUAGAUAUGGAAAUUGUGACUGAAGUGAAGUUGAUGCAUUGAUGCAACAUGCCAGACAGCCAAGCAAGAUCACACUACUCACUAGCGUGUUGACACUGUUACCUGUUAGCCUCUGUUAGACAUUGUUUUUUCUUUUUUGGCUUUGCUGUAGCCUGUUGUGUACUUUCUUUUGCAUUCAUUAGACUGGGAGUAAACUCUAAACAUUGUGCUUGUGUGGGUUUGUAGUUUUCACUGAACAUUUUGAACUCAAAAAGACCAAGACUCUGUUUUUCUUAA
Long non-coding RNA from Papaver somniferum (opium poppy), 401 nucleotides. RefSeq lists it as uncharacterized. The record is from RefSeq and is a predicted model, not a curated record. The transcript has 2 exons. Lineage: Eukaryota; Viridiplantae; Streptophyta; Magnoliopsida; Ranunculales; Papaveraceae.